This 678-nucleotide long non-coding RNA is filed under the name Androctonus crassicauda. Lineage: Eukaryota; Metazoa; Arthropoda; Arachnida; Scorpiones; Buthidae. The record is from RNAcentral.
UAUUUUAGGCCUAAUGCUAUUAUUUACUUAAUGAAUAAUAAUGUAAAUAUGUUUUUAGGUAUUUAGAUGCAUUAGCAAAUGAAAAAAUGCUAUAAUUUGCUUUACAGUGAUGGUCUGGAAUGUAACUGUCACAAUAACAAAGUAUGCGUGUACUUUAUCACACUGUUAUACUGUGAUUUUAUCACUUCUCGUGGCCUUAUUGGUGGUUGCAUGAACAUUUUCUUUGAGAACCACUGCUCUAGAUCAUACUUAAAAAUCAAUCCUUCAACACAAAAUCUUUUCUAAUCAAAUCAUUUAUUGCAAUCACUCAUAAAUAUGUGCACUAAGUACUGAAUAUCAGUAAGAACUAAUUUAUUAACUUUAAAUAUUGAAACAUUUUUGGUUAGAAAUAAACCAUCUUCAGCAUCAUGCGCCUUAGAGGUGUAAAUGUUAUCACAAACAGUUAAUCAAAAACAUUUAGAAUAUAAUGCAUGGAAAUGUUGUCAUAAACACUAUAAAUAAUAAAACAUUGUUCCAGUUUAUCUAACAUAUAAUAUAUAUUUCUAUGUAAAUUUGAGUCAAUAUAUUCUGCCAGAAUCUAGAUUAGGGGUAGGCAAACUUUUUUUGUAGGGAAAUUUAUGCAACAGAGAAAUUUAAUGACAGGCUGGACAAAUCUUGCUCGAGGACCGAAAGUUGCCC